ACACUCCUACGGGAGGCAGCAGUGGGGAAUUUUGGACAAUGGGCGAAAGCCUGAUCCAGCCAUGCCGCGUGCAGGAUGAAGGCCUUCGGGUUGUAAACUGCUUUUGUACGGAACGAAACGGCCUUUUCUAAUAAAGAGGGCUAAUGACGGUACCGUAAGAAUAAGCACCGGCUAACUACGUGCCAGCAGCCGCGGUAAUACGUAGGGUGCAAGCGUUAAUCGGAAUUACUGGGCGUAAAGCGUGCGCAGGCGGUUAUGUAAGACAGUUGUGAAAUCCCCGGGCUCAACCUGGGAACUGCAUCUGUGACUGCAUAGCUAGAGUACGGUAGAAGGGGAUGGAAUUCCGCGUGUAGCAGUGAAAUGCGUAGAUAUGCGGAGGAACACCGAUGGCGAAGGCAAUCCCCUGGACCUGUACUGACGCUCAUGCACGAAAGCGUGGGGAGCAAACAGGAUUAGAUACCCCGGUAGUCCCAUGA
This 476-nucleotide ribosomal RNA is filed under the name uncultured organism. RNAcentral describes it as "partial 16S ribosomal RNA". It matches the Rfam family "Bacterial small subunit ribosomal RNA", at positions 333 to 800 of the family's 1533-position model. The record is from RNAcentral.